RNAcentral lists this ribosomal RNA (497 nucleotides) under uncultured bacterium. Its description in RNAcentral is "partial 16S ribosomal RNA". It matches the Rfam family "Bacterial small subunit ribosomal RNA", at positions 28 to 507 of the family's 1533-position model. The record is from RNAcentral.
GAUGAACGCUGGCGGCGUGCCUAAUACAUGCAAGUAGAACGCUGAAGGAAGGAGCUUGCUCUUUCCGGAUGAGUUGCGAACGGGUGAGUAACGCGUAGGUAACCUGCCUGGUAGCGGGGGAUAACUAUUGGAAACGAUAGCUAAUACCGCAUAACAGUAGAUGUUGCAUGAUAUCUACUUAAAAGGUGCAAUUGCACCACUACCAGAUGGACCUGCGUUGUAUUAGCUAGUUGGUGAGGUAACGGCUCACCAAGGCGACGAUACAUAGCCGACCUGAGAGGGUGAUCGGCCACACUGGGACUGAGACACGGCCCAGACUCCUACGGGAGGCAGCAGUAGGGAAUCUUCGGCAAUGGACGGAAAUCUGACCGAGCAACGCCGCGUGAGUGAAGAAGGGUUUCGGAUCGUAAAGCUCUGUUGUAAGAGAAGAACGAGUGUGAGAGUGGAAAGUUCACACUGUGACGGUAUCUUACCAGAAAGGGACGGCUAACUACGUG